Molecule: ribosomal RNA, 433 nt
Filed under: uncultured bacterium
Lineage: Bacteria
Description: partial 16S ribosomal RNA
Rfam family: Bacterial small subunit ribosomal RNA
Source: RNAcentral
AACGAACGCUGGCGGCAUGCCUAACACAUGCAAGUCGAACGAGACCUUCGGGUCUAGUGGCGCACGGGUGCGUAACGCGUGGGAACCUGCCCUUAGGUUCGGAAUAACUCCCCGAAAGGGGUGCUAAUACCGGAUAAUGUCUUCGGACCAAAGAUUUAUGGCCUUUGGAUGGGCCCUCGUUGGAUUAGCUAGUUGGUAGGGUAAAAGCCUACCAAGGCGACGAUCCAUAGCUGGUCUGAGAGGAUGAUCAGCCACACUGGGACUGAGACACGGCCCAGACUCGUACGGGAGGCAGCAGAGGGGUAUAUUGGACAAGGGGCGAAAGCCUGAUCCAGCAAUGCCGCGUGAGUGAUGAAGGCCUUAGGGUUGUAAAGCUCUUUUACCCGGGAUGAUAAUGACAGUACCGGGAGAAGAAGCUCCGGCUAACUCCGUG